ACUCCCUCCCUUGCACUGAGGGCACAUGCAUCUUCAGUGGGACUCGAAAUUCCUGGAGAACUGCUUUUGUGAAAAGCUGGCAAUAAUGUCUUUAAAAUUUCUUAGUUUUCCUUUUUGCUGUGUUUCAGAAAGACAUC
This 137-nucleotide non-coding RNA is filed under the name Bos taurus (domestic cattle). RNAcentral's name for it is "ODC internal ribosome entry site (IRES)". It matches the Rfam family "ODC internal ribosome entry site (IRES)". The record is from Rfam by way of RNAcentral. Lineage: Eukaryota; Metazoa; Chordata; Mammalia; Artiodactyla; Bovidae. RNAcentral also lists the same sequence under 2 other names.